RNAcentral lists this long non-coding RNA (310 nucleotides) under Phoenix dactylifera (date palm). RNAcentral describes it as "long non-coding RNA (PDAC_LNC013428)". Lineage: Eukaryota; Viridiplantae; Streptophyta; Magnoliopsida; Arecales; Arecaceae. The record is from RNAcentral.
UUUUUUUGAACAUUAUCUUCAAAUUCUAAACUCUUAAAUGGAAUGAUCAAUUGAGGGGGAGAAAGAAAAUUUCAGAAGGAGAGAUCUUAUGGAACUUAAUCGCAUAAAUCUAUAACUAAAGCAGAGAGAAAGAAUACUAAAUGAAAAGUGAUCCUAAUACUCUUCCAUAUGUAUCAUCUGAAAUUUAAAUCUGAAAAUCUUUAUGAUACACCUUGAGGCUUGUUAUUUGGUUAAUAUAUCUUAUGCAUAAAUCAUAAACCAAAUUGCAAUUCAAACAGUUGAUCUUAAGAGCCUCUAAUUUAAUGAAAAA